UACGUAGGGUGCAAGCGUUGUCCGGAAUUAUUGGGCGUAAAGAGCUCGUAGGCGGUUUGUCGCGUCUGCUGUGAAAAUCCGGGGCUCAACCCCGGACUUGCAGUGGGUACGGGCAGACUAGAGUGUGGUAGGGGAGACUGGAAUUCCUGGUGUAGCGGUGGAAUGCGUAGAUAUCAGGAGGAACACCGGUGGCGAAGGCGGGUCUCUGGGCAGUAACUGACGCUGAGGAGCGAAAGCGUGGGGAGCGAACAGG
This 253-nucleotide ribosomal RNA is filed under the name uncultured bacterium. Its description in RNAcentral is "partial 16S ribosomal RNA". It matches the Rfam family "Bacterial small subunit ribosomal RNA", at positions 524 to 776 of the family's 1533-position model. The record is from RNAcentral.